GACGAACGCUGGCGGCGUGCUUAACACAUGCAAGUCGAACGGUAAGGCUCCAGCUUGCUGGGGUACACGAGUGGCGAACGGGUGAGUAACACGUGGGUGACCUGCCCUGCACUUCGGGAUAAGCCUGGGAAACUGGGUCUAAUACCGGAUAGGACCAUGGUGUGGAUACUGUGGUGGAAAGUUUUUUCGGUGUGGGAUGGGUCCGCGGCCUAUCAGCUUGUUGGUGGGGUAAUGGCCUACCAAGGCGGCGACGGGUAGCCGGCCUGGGAGGGUGGACGGCCACAUUGGGACUGAGACACGGCCCAGACUCCUACGGGAGGCAGCAGUGGGGAAUAUUGCACAAUGGGCGGAAGCCUGAUGCAGCGACGCCGCGUGGGGGAUGACGGCCUUCGGGUUGUAAACUCCUUUCACCAUCGACGAAGGGUUUCUGACGGUAGAUGGAGAAGAAGCACCGGCUAACUACGUG
Molecule: ribosomal RNA, 466 nt
Filed under: uncultured bacterium
Lineage: Bacteria
Description: partial 16S ribosomal RNA
Rfam family: Bacterial small subunit ribosomal RNA
Source: RNAcentral